CAUUUACUCGCUAGAUAGAUCGUCCUCGCUAGAUUUUACUUGUUGACCUAUCUAUAUAAUCUUAUUUGUUUCAUUCUGUUCUACAUAUUUUCUGUCCAGGGUCACAAGUGUGAAAGACAUUUUGCCAGUGUCCACAAGCUGGUGGGGGCGGCGGUAUUGGUCCGUUGACGUCACAAAUAUGGGGAAGGGGGAUAUUUUUCGAAGGAUUGUCCACAAGAGGGUCGCGGCGGUGGUGGAAGUCGUACCUGCCAUGAGAUAAACAAAAAACAAAAAAAACAUCAUUUUUAGUGCUCAUUUUUAACGAAGAAGAGGGCAAUAUAGCAAGGGAUUUUCCUCAAGGAGGAAGCAUUGGUGGCAGAAACUGUUAUGAUUGUAAAAGACCACACCUCGAAAGGCUACCCGAAUCUCUUCAGUGAAUUGACGGAAGAUGGAAAGCCACAUGAGCAAUACAUUCCAGAAGCUGUGACAUGUGAUGAAAAGGAACUGUUUAAGGGCAUUGUCUAUGUGGGAACGCUUUAACAAUUUUGAUAAAGUCGUCCUCCAUGCUACAGGAAAAGAUGUACUUCAAUACAUAACAUCAUUCGAAGAAGCCGGCCUGCACCAACUACUACUUCAAAACAUUAAGAAUUCUGACUACAUAAAAUCAACACCUGUUUAGAAAGCUUCAGUUGUAGUUAUUCUUGCCAAAAGAGGUUUAAUUGCUUGUGCGGUCACGGGCUCCGGAAAAAGGUAAUCCAACUAAUUAACGCUGUGUAAUUUUGAAACCUUGAUGCCCUCGUACUGACUUGAUUCGAAUGGAUCGGUAUGAACUGGGUAAGUUGAAGUAAAAGUAAUUUUGAGUGGGCACGCCGGUGAUUGCGACUUAUAAAAGGUCCAAUUGCAUCUAAGAUACUCAACAAACCCUUCGUGAUAUUCGUUGAUUAAGUCAUCUAAAAUUUUACAUUUUUUCAUGCAGGCGGCGUACUUGGUACCGGUUAUGAACAUAUUGUUAGAACAAGGUGUUGUUGGUGCGUCUCAUGCCAUGGGGCAAAAGCCAGAAGUUGUAAUUGUCGCACCCACUCGUGAAUUGGCCAUUCAAAUUCACCGCGAGGCGUGUAAAUUCUCCUACAGUUCGGUUUUAAAGUCUGUGAUUAUAUAUGGAGGGACUCUCACGAGCCAUCAGCGGUCAAAUCUUCAAGCUGGGUGCAAUAUUUUUGUUGCGACCGCGGGGCGAUUCAAUGAUUUUCUCGACCGUGAAGUAUUUGACUUCUCGGGAGUCAGGUUUUAAAUUUUGGACGAAGCUGAUCGAAUGCUUGAUAUGGGUUUCGGUCCCAAUGUUGAAAAAAUUGUCAAUCAUCCAACGAUGCAUCCGAAAGGAAUCCGUCGUGUUUGUAUGUUUUCGGCUACAUUCCCAGAUGAAGUGCAAGAGCUGGCUGCGACGUACAUGGAAGACUACAUAUUCGUCACAACAGGCAUUGUCGAUGGCAUCAAUCCGGGUAUUGAACAGCUGUUUUUUCAGUGCUCGAAAAGAGAUAAGAGAGCUAAGCUGAUCGAAGUUUUACAAGAUCUUGGUGGUGCCAAGACUAUCCUUUUUGUCAACAGCAAAAAGACCGCGGAUUUCGUCGCUGCAUUCUCGUGCAAUAACAACUUACAAGUAAAAAUCAAAACUGUUGGA
Long non-coding RNA from Daphnia carinata, 1654 nucleotides. RefSeq lists it as uncharacterized. The transcript has 6 exons. The record is from RefSeq and is a predicted model, not a curated record. NCBI's taxonomy places the organism in Eukaryota, Metazoa, Arthropoda, Branchiopoda, Diplostraca, Daphniidae.